ACUCCUACGGGAGGCAGCAGUGGGGAAUAUUGGAUAAUGGGGGCAACCCUGAUCCAGCCAUGCCGCGUGAGUGAAGAAGGCCCUAGGGUCGUAAAGCUCUUUCAAACUGUGAAGAUAAUGACGGUAGCAGUAGAAGAAACCCCGGCUAACUCCGUGCCAGCAGCCGCGGUAAUACGGAGGGGUUAGCGUUGUUCGGAAUUACUGGGCGUAAAGCGCACGUAGGCGGACUAUUAAGUUAGAGGUGAAAUCCCAGGGCUCAACCCUGGAACUGCCUUUAAUACUGGUAGUCUUGAGUUCGAGAGAGGUGAGUGGAAUUCCGAGUGUAGAGGUGAAAUUCGUAGAGUAUUCGAGGAACACCAGUGGCGAAGGCGGCAUCACUGGCUCGAUACUGACGCUGAGGUGCGAAAGUGUGGGGAGCAAACAGGAUUAGAUACCCUGGUAGGUGA
Molecule: ribosomal RNA, 446 nt
Filed under: uncultured bacterium
Lineage: Bacteria
Description: bacterial SSU rRNA
Rfam family: Bacterial small subunit ribosomal RNA
Source: RNAcentral